CUAGCGGCAGGCUUUACACAUGCAAGUCGAGGGGUAACAGGAGUAGCUUGCUACUUGCUGACGACCGGCGCACGGGUGCGUAACGCGUAUACAAUCUACCUUAUACUGGGGAAUAGCCUUUGGAAACGAAGAUUAAUGCCCCAUAGUAUUAUUGAAUGGCAUCGUUUAAUAAUUAAAACUCCGGUGGUAUAAGAUGAGUAUGCGUUCUAUUAGUUAGUUGGUAAGGUAACGGCUUACCAAGACAUCGAUAGAUAGGGGUCCUGAGAGGGAGAUCCCCCACACUGGUACUGAGACACGGACCAGACUCCUACGGGAGGCAGCAGUGAGGAAUAUUGGACAAUGGGCGCAAGCCUGAUCCAGCCAUGCCGCGUGCAGGAAGACUGCCCUAUGGGUUGUAAACUGCUUUUAUAUGGGAAGAAUAAGGGGUACGUGUACUCUGAUGACGGUACCAUAAGAAUAAGCACCGGCUAACUCCGUGCCAGCAGCCGCGGUAAUACGGAGGGUGCAAGCGUUAUCCGGAAUCAUUGGGUUUAAAGGGUCCGUAGGCGGGCAUAUAAGUCAGUGGUGAAAUGCUGUGGCUCAACCAUAGCACUGCCAUUGAUACUGUAUGUCUUGAAUUAUUGUGAAGUGGUUAGAAUAUGUAGUGUAGCGGUGAAAUGCUUAGAUAUUACAUAGAAUACCGAUUGCGAAGGCAGAUCACUAACAAUAUAUUGACGCUGAUGGACGAAAGCGUAGGUAGCGAACAGGAUUAGAUACCCUGGUAGUCUACGCCGUAAACGAUGGAUACUAGUUGUUUGGCUUUCGGGCUGAGUGACUAAGCGAAAGUGAUAAGUAUCCCACCUGGGGAGUACGUUCGCAAGAAUGAAACUCAA
This 872-nucleotide ribosomal RNA is filed under the name Flavobacteriaceae bacterium ACEMC 10-8. RNAcentral's name for it is "bacterial SSU rRNA". It matches the Rfam family "Bacterial small subunit ribosomal RNA", at positions 36 to 904 of the family's 1533-position model. Lineage: Bacteria; Pseudomonadati; Bacteroidota; Flavobacteriia; Flavobacteriales; Flavobacteriaceae. The record is from RNAcentral.